UACGUAGGGAGCGAGCGUUGUCCGAAGUUACUGGGCGUAAAGCGCGCGUAGGCGGGCUGUUAAGUGAGAGGUGAAAGGCUGGGGCUUAACCCCAUGCAGUGCCUCUCAUACUGGCGGUCUUGAGUGCGGCAGGGAGAAGUGGAAUGGCUGGUGUAGCGGUGAAAUGCGUAGAUAUCAGUCGGAACACCAGUGGCGAAGGCGGCUCACUGGCCCGGUACUGACGCUGAGGCGCGAAAGCGUGGGGAGCAAACAGG
This 254-nucleotide ribosomal RNA is filed under the name uncultured bacterium. RNAcentral describes it as "partial 16S ribosomal RNA". It matches the Rfam family "Bacterial small subunit ribosomal RNA", at positions 524 to 776 of the family's 1533-position model. The record is from RNAcentral.